GCUACAUGAUGAUACUCCCAAAGACUGAACACUCUGUAGUUGGUCCACGGUGUGUGUAUAUGAUGUACUGCACUGUUUCAAGACGGGACUGAUGGCAGC
Molecule: small nucleolar RNA, 99 nt
Organism: Bubo bubo (Eurasian eagle-owl)
Lineage: Eukaryota; Metazoa; Chordata; Aves; Strigiformes; Strigidae
Gene: SNORD21
Rfam family: Small nucleolar RNA SNORD21
About the family: U21 is a member of the C/D class of snoRNA which contain the C (UGAUGA) and D (CUGA) box motifs.
Source: Ensembl